UACAGCCACAUCACGUUGAAACAUCAGUUCUCGUACGAUCACCGAAGUUAAGCAGCGUCAAGUCUGGUCAGUACCAAGAUGGGUGACCGUUUGAGAAUAUCAGGUGCUGUAA
This is a non-coding RNA of Acanthosepion pharaonis, 112 nucleotides long. The record is from the annotation of a GenBank genome assembly. NCBI's taxonomy places the organism in Eukaryota, Metazoa, Mollusca, Cephalopoda, Sepiida, Sepiidae.